This 468-nucleotide ribosomal RNA is filed under the name uncultured bacterium. RNAcentral describes it as "partial 16S ribosomal RNA". It matches the Rfam family "Bacterial small subunit ribosomal RNA", at positions 28 to 507 of the family's 1533-position model. The record is from RNAcentral.
GAUGAACGCUGGCGGCGUGCUUAACACAUGCAAGUCGAACGGAAAGGCCCAAGCUUGCUUGGGUACUCGAGUGGCGAACGGGUGAGUAACACGUGGGUGAUCUGCCCUGCACUUCGGGAUAAGCCUGGGAAACUGGGUCUAAUACCGGAUAGGACGAUGGUUUGGAUGCCAUUGUGGAAAGUUUUUUCGGUGUGGGAUGAGCUCGCGGCCUAUCAGCUUGUUGGUGGGGUAAUGGCCUACCAAGGCGUCGACGGGUAGCCGGCCUGAGAGGGUGUACGGCCACAUUGGGACUGAGAUACGGCCCAGACUCCUACGGGAGGCAGCAGUGGGGAAUAUUGCACAAUGGGCGCAAGCCUGAUGCAGCGACGCCGCGUGGGGGAUGACGGCCUUCGGGUUGUAAACUCCUUUCGCUAGGGACGGAGCGUUUUUGUGACGGUACCUGGAGAAGAAGCACCGGCUAACUACGUG